AUAUUAGACAUGAAAUAAAAAUGUAAUUGAUUAUAUAAAGGAUACGAGAAAAUAGAGAAUAUGAUAAACCAGAAAGGAUUAUAUUGGAAAGUAAAGUAUUUGUAAUGAGAGGGCGCAUUGGAACUUACCUGAUACGCCCAUUCUC
Non-coding RNA from Pseudonaja textilis, 145 nucleotides. The record is from RefSeq and is a predicted model, not a curated record. NCBI's taxonomy places the organism in Eukaryota, Metazoa, Chordata, Lepidosauria, Squamata, Elapidae.